This 669-nucleotide unclassified non-coding RNA is filed under the name Hevea brasiliensis (rubber tree). The record is from RNAcentral. Lineage: Eukaryota; Viridiplantae; Streptophyta; Magnoliopsida; Malpighiales; Euphorbiaceae.
CUCUAAUGAAUGUUCAUCAAUCCACGCUUUGAAGACAUAACCAAAAUUACCUUCAGCCAAUAAAUAAUAUGGACAGAAGUUUCUUGUUGCUGUUUUCAGUUCACUAAAGCAAAAUCUCCUCAAAUUGGGUGACUGCAGGAUCUCACCCUUUGUCUGGGGAUCUAAAGGCACUGCCACAGAGGAGACCUCGCUACUUGACCUACUGGCAUCACUCCAAACAUUACCAGGAUAUGUUGGGUUCACCCCUACAUAGGACAUAUCUUGUAAAUUCAUCUCGACACGUACAAUGCUGAACUAGAAAUAAGCAAUGCAGGACAUUUUAAUAAAAAUAUAUCUCGUAUACAUGAAUAGAAAGUUACAUGAUAAAUAUCAGAGAACAAUUAUUAUAAAAAAAAAAUUGCAAAAGAAAUGUUUGUAUCAUAUAAUAUAUGUAUCUAUAUGUGCACACACAAUCCUAACAUCAUGUGGAGAGAUUAAAAGCCCAAUACAAGUUGUAUAUGAUGAUCUUUCUAGAUUGCCAAAGUUAUUGAUAAAUUCAUUGAGGGAAAAAGAAGAAUUUAGAUUAAAGAUGACAAUUCUUCAUGGUUAAAAAGGGCAUAUCUUGAUUGUUUCUGCAAUAAAAUGGCCCAUGUCAACCUUGCCAAAUUAAAGGAACAAUAUUAUUAGAGA